RNAcentral lists this ribosomal RNA (276 nucleotides) under uncultured Desulfobotulus sp. RNAcentral describes it as "partial 16S ribosomal RNA". It matches the Rfam family "Bacterial small subunit ribosomal RNA", at positions 1107 to 1382 of the family's 1533-position model. The record is from RNAcentral. Lineage: Bacteria; Pseudomonadati; Thermodesulfobacteriota; Desulfobacteria; Desulfobacterales; Desulfobacteraceae.
GUCUUCAGUUGCCAGCACGUAAAGGUGGGAACUCUGAAGAUACUGCCCCGGUUAACGGGGAGGAAGGUGGGGAUGACGUCAAGUCCUCAUGGCCCUUAUGCCCAGGGCUACACACGUGCUACAAUGGCAUAUACAAAGGGUCGCGAUACCGCGAGGUGGAGCCAAUCCCAUAAAGUAUGCCACAGUUCGGAUUGGAGUCUGCAACUCGACUCCAUGAAGUUGGAAUCGCUAGUAAUCGCAGAUCAGCAUGCUGCGGUGAAUACGUUCCCGGGCCUU